ACUCAAAGGAAUAGACGGGGACCCGCACAAGCAGGGGAGCGUGUGGUUUAAUUCGAUACUAAGCGAAAAACCUCACCCAGGUUUGACAUGGUGCUGCAAGCGCACAGAGAUGUGUGACCUUCGAGGGUGCACCACAGGUAUUGCACGGCUGUCGUCAGCUCGUACCGUGAGGCGUUGGCUUAAGUGCCGCAACGAGCGCAACCCCCAUCCUUAGUUGUAUCACUCUAAGGAGACUGCCUACCGUAUAGGUGGGAGGAAGGUGGGGAUGACGUCAAGUCAGCGUGAUCCUUAUGUCUGGGGCUACACACACCCUACAAUGGCGCAUAACAACGGGCUUAAAGCGACGUGGUAACACGAAGCGAAUCCCUAAAACUGCGCCUCAGUUCAGAUCGAGGGCUGAAACCCGCCCUCGUGAAGGAGGACUUGCUAGUAAUCGCAGAUCAGCAGGCUGCGGUGAAUACGUUCUCGGGUCUUGUACACACCGCCCGU
RNAcentral lists this ribosomal RNA (489 nucleotides) under uncultured bacterium. RNAcentral's name for it is "partial 16S ribosomal RNA". It matches the Rfam family "Bacterial small subunit ribosomal RNA", at positions 899 to 1397 of the family's 1533-position model. The record is from RNAcentral.